CCUUCAAUGUAGCAGCACAGGGUGCGCCUGA
This 31-nucleotide non-coding RNA is filed under the name Homo sapiens (human). Lineage: Eukaryota; Metazoa; Chordata; Mammalia; Primates; Hominidae. The record is from RNAcentral.